UCGGAACUUAUGAAUUUUCUUAUGCGGUAGGAUGUCUUCCGAAGGAACUAACACUGGUGCUCUCCUUUUAUGGGUGCUAGUCCCUGUUUUCUUGCUUACCUUCUCCACUGCAUAAGGAAAAUCAAAAUAAGAAAUACAACUUUCCAAAUAAAGUAAGGAAUUGAGCUAAGUUUACAUGAAGGAUACAACUUACUCGACCGUCCCUGGCUCUCGGAAACUAAGGGUUGGAAAACCGUACCGACGAAAUAAGGGUCGUAGCUUGCUUAAGUGUCUAUCCUCUUUGGGCACCCUCAACACCUUCUCUAUGUCAG
Molecule: long non-coding RNA, 311 nt
Filed under: Malus domestica (apple)
Lineage: Eukaryota; Viridiplantae; Streptophyta; Magnoliopsida; Rosales; Rosaceae
Description: long non-coding RNA (MDOM_LNC007262)
Source: RNAcentral